AUUGAACGCUGGCGGCAGGCCUAACACAUGCAAGUCGAGCGGUAACAGAGAGUAGCUUGCUACUCUGCUGACGAGCGGCGGACGGGUGAGUAAUGCUUGGGAAUAUGCCUUAUGGUGGGGGACAACAGUUGGAAACGACUGCUAAUACCGCAUGAUGUCUACGGACCAAAGUGGGGGACCUUCGGGCCUCACGCCAUAAGAUUAGCCCAAGUGGGAUUAGCUAGUUGGUGAGGUAAUGGCUCACCAAGGCGACGAUCCCUAGCUGGUUUGAGAGGAUGAUCAGCCACACUGGGACUGAGACACGGCCCAGACUCCUACGGGAGGCAGCAGUGGGGAAUAUUGCACAAUGGGCGCAAGCCUGAUGCAGCCAUGCCGCGUGUGUGAAGAAGGCCUUCGGGUUGUAAAGCACUUUCAGUAAGGAGGAAAGGUUAAGUGUUAAUAGCGCUUAGCUGUGACGUUACUUACAGAAGAAGCACCGGCUAACUCCGUGCCAGCAGCCGCGGUAAUACGGAGGGUGCGAGCGUUAAUCGGAAUUACUGGGCGUAAAGCGUACGCAGGCGGUUUGUUAAGCGAGAUGUGAAAGCCCCGGGCUCAACCUGGGAACUGCAUUUCGAACUGGCAAACUAGAGUGUGAUAGAGGGUGGUAGAAUUUCAGGUGUAGCGGUGAAAUGCGUAGAGAUCUGAAGGAAUACCGAUGGCGAAGGCAGCCACCUGGGUCAACACUGACGCUCAUGUACGAAAGCGUGGGGAGCAAACAG
Molecule: ribosomal RNA, 758 nt
Filed under: uncultured bacterium
Lineage: Bacteria
Description: bacterial SSU rRNA
Rfam family: Bacterial small subunit ribosomal RNA
Source: RNAcentral